ACGGUCCUAAGGUAGCGAAAUUCCUUGUCGGGUAAGUUCCGACCUGCACGAAAGGCGCAACGACUUGGGCGCUGUCUCGACCAUGGACCCGGUGAAAUUGCACUGGUCGUGAAGAUGCGACUUACCCGCGGAAGGACGGAAAGACCCCGUGAACCUUCACUGCAGCUUGGCAUUGGCCGCUGGUCCCGCGUGUAGAGGAUAGGCAGGAGGCACAGAUCCGGAGGCGCCAGCCCCCGGGGAGCCGCCCUUGGAAUACUGCCCUCGCGCGACCGGCGUCCUAACCCGAGGCCGUCAACCGGCUCGGGGACCGUGCCAGGCGGGCAGUUUGACUGGGGCGGUCGCCUCCUAAAGGGUAACGGAGGCGCGCGAAGGUCCGCUCGGGACGGUCGGCAACCGUCCUUUUGAAUGCAAGAGUACAAGCGGGCUUGACUGCGAGGCCCACAAGCCGAGCAGGUGCGAAAGCAGGCUCUAGUGAUCCGGCGGCCCCGAGUGGGUGGGCCGUCGCUCAACGGAUAAAAGGUACUCCGGGGAUAACAGGCUGAUCUUGCCCAAGAGUCCACAUCGACGGCAAGGUUUGGCACCUCGAUGUCGGCUCAUCGCAUCCUGGGGCUGGAGCAGGUCCCAAGGGUACGGCUGUUCGCCGUUUAAAGCGGUACGCGAGCUGGGUUCAGAACGUCGUGAGACAGUUCGGUCCCUAUCCUCCGUGGGCGCAGGAGAAUCGAUGGAGGCUGCCCCCAGUACGAGAGGACCGGGGUGGACGCACCUCCGGUGAACCGGUUGUCGACCAACGGCACGGCCGGGUAGCCGCGUGCGGCGCGGAUAACCGCUGAAGGCAUCUAAGCGGGAAGCCGUUCCAGGGAUUAGUUCUCCUUCCGGUAAGGGCCCAGGUAGACUACCUGGUCGAUAGACGGCAGGUGCAAGGACGGCGACGUCCUCAGCCGAGCCGCACUAAUCGCCCGAGCUCUUCCGGAA
RNAcentral lists this ribosomal RNA (972 nucleotides) under human gut metagenome. Its description in RNAcentral is "bacterial LSU rRNA". It matches the Rfam family "Bacterial large subunit ribosomal RNA", at positions 1945 to 2925 of the family's 2925-position model. The record is from RNAcentral.